RNAcentral lists this ribosomal RNA (736 nucleotides) under Ricania marginalis. RNAcentral's name for it is "small subunit ribosomal RNA". The record is from RNAcentral. Lineage: Eukaryota; Metazoa; Arthropoda; Insecta; Hemiptera; Ricaniidae.
UGACGCUUAUGAUUUCAGUAAAUAAUUUGAUUCUUGUUAUUAAAUUAAUUCAAUUAUUUGUUUGCAUGUAAAUUUUUGUGAGUGGUUUUGUUCUAAAUGGGUAAUUACUUAAUUUUCAGUGUUUAAUUUUUAUUUUUUAUUAAUAUUUUAAUUUGAGUAAUUUAUUUAAGUCAGAAUAAAUUUGUGCCAGCAUUCGCGGUUAUACAUUUUGUUUAAGUUAAUUUUUUCAGUUAGCAGUUUUUUUAAGAAUAUAUUUUAUUUGGGUGAAAUUUAUAUUUAUUAUCUCUUUUAUUCUGUUUAAGCUUUUAAUAGACCAGGAUUAGAUACCCUGUUAUUUUUGAUUAAUAAGUUUAUUUCUGGGUAGUAAGGUUUUUAUUGAAAUUCAAUGGAUCUGGCGGUUUUUAAAUCUUUUCAGAGGAACCUGUAAUUUGAAUGAUAGUCCACGAUUAAUUUCACUUUAUUUUUCUUGUAUAUCUCUGUCGUUGAAUGUAAUGAUAAUUAAUUUUCUUUUUUUUUUAAAGAUUUAUGUUAGGUCAAGGUGCAGUUAUAAUAAAGUUUUUAUGGGUUACUUUUAUUAUUGUUAGCGGAUAAUUUUUUUGUGAAUGUUUUGAAUUUGGAUUUGAAAGUAAUUUUUUUUAUUAAAUUUUUUGAAUUUAGCUCUUAAUUAUGUACAUAUCGCCCGUCACUCUCAUAAAUUGAGAUAAGUCGUAACAAAGUAGAUGUACUGGAAAGUGUA